UACAGAGGGUGCAAGCGUUGUUCGGAAUUACUGGGCGUAAAGCGUGCGUAGUCGGUAUUGAGAGUCGCGGGUGAAAUCCCAGGGCUUAACCCUGGAACUGCCUGCGAGACCUCAGUACUAGAGUGUGAGAGGGAUAGUGGAAUACCCAGUGUAGCGGUGAAAUGCGUAGAGAUUGGGUGGAACACCGGUGGCGAAGGCGGCUAUCUGGCUCACAACUGACGAUCAGGCACGAAAGCGUGGGGAGCAAACAGG
RNAcentral lists this ribosomal RNA (252 nucleotides) under uncultured bacterium. RNAcentral's name for it is "partial 16S ribosomal RNA". It matches the Rfam family "Bacterial small subunit ribosomal RNA", at positions 524 to 776 of the family's 1533-position model. The record is from RNAcentral.